This 496-nucleotide ribosomal RNA is filed under the name uncultured Fusibacter sp. RNAcentral's name for it is "bacterial SSU rRNA". It matches the Rfam family "Bacterial small subunit ribosomal RNA", at positions 888 to 1382 of the family's 1533-position model. Lineage: Bacteria; Bacillati; Bacillota; Clostridia; Eubacteriales; Fusibacteraceae. The record is from RNAcentral.
CCCGCUCAGAAACUUAAAGGAAUUGACGGGGGCCCGCACAAGCGGUGGAGCAUGUGGUUUAAUUCGACGAUACGCGAAGAACCUUACCCGGGUUUGACAUUGUAUCGAAGCAUCCAGAGAUGGAUGUGUCUCUUCGGAGACGGUAUGACAGGUGGUGCAUGGUUGUCGUCAGCUCGUGUCGUGAGAUGUUGGGUUAAGUCCCGCAACGAGCGCAACCCUUGUGUUUAGUUGCAAACAGGUCAAGCUGUGCACUCUAGACAGACUGCCGUGGACAACACGGAGGAAGGUGGGGAUGACGUCAAAUCAUCAUGCCCCUUAUGAUCUGGGCUACACACGUGCUACAAUGGCCGGUACAACGGGCAGCGAAGGAGCGAUCCGGAGCGAAUCCUAAAAAGCCGGUCCCAGUUCGGAUUGCAGGCUGAAACUCGCCUACAUGAAGUUGGAGUUGCUAGUAAUCGCGAAUCAGAAUGUCGCGGUGAAUGCGUUCCCGGGUCUU